GUUGAAGAAAGAUAAGAAAUAGUGAGCAAGCGUCGAGCAGGUAUACGAGCGGUUUUUUGAAGUUUUCAAUCAGUUUUUUGAAGAGUCUGAACCAGUUUUUUGAAGUUUUCAACCAGUUUUUUGAAGAGUCUGAAGGGCAACUCUAUGGACCAGGAAUCGCUGAUUAGCAUAUUAAUGCGAUGGAAAUUGCGACCUGCACCUUUCCCGCCGCACGACAAAUGCAUAAUCGAGACGCCUCGGUGAAAUGCUUGUACCAGGCAUAAUAUGACAUGUAUCCUAAUGAAAAAAUUCGAGAAGACUGUUGAAAUACAUAACAAUAAACUCU
This is a long non-coding RNA of Neodiprion virginianus, 325 nucleotides long. RefSeq lists it as uncharacterized. The transcript is spliced from 3 exons. The record is from RefSeq and is a predicted model, not a curated record. NCBI's taxonomy places the organism in Eukaryota, Metazoa, Arthropoda, Insecta, Hymenoptera, Diprionidae.